GAGGGUAUACCUCAGGGGUAGAGUGUGUGCUUAGCAUGCAUGAGGUCCUGGGUUCAAUCCCCAGUACCUCUA
Camelus ferus (Wild Bactrian camel) is the source of this 72-nucleotide transfer RNA. It matches the Rfam family "tRNA". From Rfam's summary of the family: Transfer RNA (tRNA) molecules are approximately 80 nucleotides in length. The record is from Rfam. Lineage: Eukaryota; Metazoa; Chordata; Mammalia; Artiodactyla; Camelidae.